ACAUGGGCCAGUCCUGUACGGCCAGCUCCCUCGGAAUCCUCCAGGACGGGAACGUAGCAAAGGUACUUGGUUGUAGCGGCGCGAUACUGACCGCUGGCCCACC
Molecule: signal recognition particle RNA, 103 nt
Filed under: uncultured Prevotella sp.
Lineage: Bacteria; Pseudomonadati; Bacteroidota; Bacteroidia; Bacteroidales; Prevotellaceae
Description: Bacteroidales small SRP
Rfam family: Bacteroidales small SRP
About the family: The non-coding component of the signal recognition particle in Bacteroides
Source: RNAcentral